RNAcentral lists this ribosomal RNA (250 nucleotides) under uncultured bacterium. RNAcentral describes it as "partial 16S ribosomal RNA". It matches the Rfam family "Bacterial small subunit ribosomal RNA", at positions 524 to 773 of the family's 1533-position model. The record is from RNAcentral.
UACGGAGGGUGCAAGCGUUAUCCGGAUUUACUGGGUUUAAAGGGUGCGUAGGCGGAUUAAUAAGUCAGUGGUGAAAGCCUGGAGCUCAACUCCAGAACUGCCAUUGAUACUGUUAAUCUUGAGUGUAGAUGAAGUGGGCGGAAUGUAACGUGUAGCGGUGAAAUGCUUAGAUAUGUUACAGAACACCGAUUGCGAAGGCAGCUCACUAAACUACUACUGACGCUGAGGCACGAAAGCGUGGGGAGCGAAC